CGUCGAAGUGAAUUCGUUCUGAUCAACUCCUGAUAACGAAACGAGACUCAAAUAAUAUUCAAAUAGAUAUCCUUCAGGAACUAUGGUGCUGAAGCUCAUGUAGGCUUCAUUCAUGGUGGCAGUAAAAUGUUUUUCGUGUUUGAAUGUGUUUAUGUAAGUGAAAGCCGUACCUGUUGGUUUGUCCCAUUAUAAGGACACUAGCUUCUUAAAUGGACAAAUUGCGUCUAGCAAUAAUGAGAUUGAGCAAUCACAGGUCUGUGAUGCCCUUAGAUGUCCUGGGCUGCACGCGCGCUACAAUGAAAGUAUCAACGUGUAUCUCGUAGACCGAGAGGUCCGUGUAAACCGCUGAACCACUUUCAUGCUUGAGAUUGUGAACUGAAACUGUUCACAUGAACUUGGAAUUCCCAGUAAGUGUGAGUCAUUAACUCGCAUUGAUUACGUCCCUGCCCUUUGUACACACCGCCCGUCGCUACUACCGAUUGAAUUAUUUAGUGAGGUCUCCGGACGUGAUCACUGUGACGCCUUGCGUGUUACGGUUGUUUCGCAAAAGUUGACCGAACUUGAUUAUUUAGAGGAAGUAAAAGUCGUAACAAGGUUUCCGUAGGUGAACCUGCGGAAGGAUCAUUA
This 627-nucleotide non-coding RNA is filed under the name Drosophila sechellia. RNAcentral describes it as "Eukaryotic small subunit ribosomal RNA". It matches the Rfam family "Eukaryotic small subunit ribosomal RNA", at positions 1300 to 1831 of the family's 1831-position model. The record is from Rfam by way of RNAcentral. Lineage: Eukaryota; Metazoa; Arthropoda; Insecta; Diptera; Drosophilidae.